UAGCGAUCAUGGAUUACCCAGAAAUAAAAACCACGAGAUCAGAAAGAGAGAAACCGACUUUAACAUAAUUUAUGCAUUUAAUUCGACACGACGAUAAGUCUAAGACGUCGUAUGAAACGAAGACGCGCUACAGACUGAGACGGUGUAUCCGCGUCUGACCAUAACGAAUUUAAUUCAUCAGACGACUUUAAUUCGUUUCAUACGAUGUACUACCGACGCAUGUAAUUCGUUCAAUUAAAAAUUGUCGACGAUAGUGCGACGUAUGAAACAGGCCUAGCCGGGCAUGUCAGUUGGUUGUUGGUGACAAGAGCUUUAGUGUGGUGUCGUAUGUAACUGAUUAGGG
Molecule: non-coding RNA, 343 nt
Organism: Paramuricea clavata
Lineage: Eukaryota; Metazoa; Cnidaria; Anthozoa; Malacalcyonacea; Plexauridae
Source: the annotation of a GenBank genome assembly